RNAcentral lists this transfer RNA (72 nucleotides) under Heterocephalus glaber (naked mole-rat). It matches the Rfam family "tRNA". Rfam says of the family: Transfer RNA (tRNA) molecules are approximately 80 nucleotides in length. The record is from Rfam by way of RNAcentral. Lineage: Eukaryota; Metazoa; Chordata; Mammalia; Rodentia; Bathyergidae.
CCCGGUGUAGCUCAGGGGUACAGUGCCUGCCUAAUGUGCACGAGGCUCUGGGUUCAAUUCCCAGUAUCAGGC